AAGAACCAGGAAAAGAAAUCUAGGUCGGGAGUAGUAAUUCGAAAUCAUGAAGCUGGAUGUGCAGGCUCGUGUAGCGGUUCAUGUAAUCCGUUUUGUGAUUGAUAUGCGUUUUAACUGAACAGAACUCGAAGGUGACUCACUGGUGGUUAUCCAGAAGCUGUCAAAUCGUACCCCUGAUAGAUCAAGCAUUCGGCCUAUUAUAACAGAUGGCAAAGAGCUAGCGGUUGGUUUUACUCAAUGCAUUUUCAGACAUGACAAAAGAGGUAACAAGGUUGCUCAUUUAAUUGCUAAAGAAGGAUUUCAUCUGUUAAACAACAUCUUUUGGGUAGAAGUACUUGCAGUGGCGCGUGAACAAGUGAGACUCGACCGAUGGUGGAUUGACCCACCCGACUGAAGAAGACUGCGGUGUUUCGGGAAUGGUGCAUGCAUGUGAGGAUUUUGGAAGCCCCCUUCUUUUGUUCAGUUAAUUUCUUCGUCAAGAUGAUAAAGUCUUUAUAAGUUUUCUAGGAAGCUGAAGAAGAGCGGUUUUGUGGGCUAUUCUGAUACUUUUUCUUCGGCAUUUUGAUUUCUCAUUUUCUGAGAAAUGUUUAUGCUCUUUAUUGUUUGCUGACCAUUUCUUAGAUUUAAAUGGCUAGCCUUUUCAGGUUUCUUUACACUGUGUUUGGUUCGCCGUAUUACCCAAUCCAUUACGCCCCGAUUACGUGCGUAUUACAUUACGCCCCUAUUCCGGCGUUUGGUUCGCUGUAAUAGGUAUUACGUGCGUAAUCGGUUACGCCCCUAAUCCCCAAAUUCCCGUGUUUUCCAAUCCCUUCCCUUUUCGCUGUAUUAGCUAUUACUUCCGGCCUCCCUCCCCAUCUCCCUGUUUUACCCUCCCUCCCUACCCGACCCUCUCCUCUUCCGUCCUAAUCAUUUUCUCCUCCCAUUUCCCACUUCUUCCGUUGAUUAUUCUGUCGUGAAAUUUUAGGCAAAAGGUCUUCCGUGCAUGAACCUCUUCCCUCACCGUUAAAUUCCUUUUAUAUUUUAGAGCCCCCCACAAAGUUAGGAAAUUAAUGGCUUAUAUCCAGUAUGGAAGACAUGCCCUUCGGUAAAUUAUCAAAGAAACGAAUGUCCAGCAAAGCCAUGAUCGUUUGAUGCAACCUCUGUUCUAUGCUUGUCAAGGAAUUAGAUACAGAAAGUUGGAUGUGAUUCUUACGACGGUGAGUCAUUUCGAUCCAAUAAUCUUUUUCUUUUCUCAAUUUUUUGUUGUUUCAGAUUGCAAAAUAUCAUUCACGUUUGCUUUUGCUUCCAUUUUUUAGAGCAUUGAGAAACUUGGCAAAGUUGGUGAGACUGUCAAAGUCGCUCCUGGUUAUUUUCGCAAUCAUCUGAUGCCGAAAUUGCUUACUGUUCCUAAUAUUGAUAAGUUCGCUUAUCUCAUUAAGGAGCAGCGUAAGGUCGCUUUCUUCUCUCUUUUAGUUUGUGUUUGAUGCUUGAAACAUGUGUUCUUGCAAUGCUGUUUGUUUAUAAAAAGAAGUUUUUCAGUUGAUAUUAAUCAUAAUCGUAUUGUUAAUUUACAAACAAAUAUGCAUCAAUUUGUUUUCCCUUAAACACACACAUCUGUAUGCAUUACCUAAGUCUCUCAUGAACCUUUUGUCAUGACACGUUCAAGGAAAAACAAGCUUGACAUAAAGGUAGAACGUUUUCAGUUUGUUGCUCGGAUUAUGGGGUAAGCUAUGUUGGCUGGACUUGGGAGUGGAUUUGGAUAUGUGAAUGUGACCGAUAUGAGUAUAUGUUGCUUUUAAGGUUUUUUUCUUGUAUUUGGAGGAGUAUAUCUCUAUACUAUGUCUGUAUAUGUAUCGGACAAAAAUAUAUUACAGAAAUGAAUAGUCCAUCUAACAUAGGGGGUGAGUGCUAGAUACAAUUAAGUGUUCGACACAAGUAUACUUGUUUUUUCUAAGUUUUUCUGUAUAUUUAGAAGAUCAUACACAUAUUUAUAUCCGAAUGUGUCUGACACAGGUUUUUUAGGAAAAUGAAGAGUCUGAGUAACAGUGUUUUCAUAUUGCUGUUGGUUUUUGGUUAGAUUUUGCUUGUUAUGAUAUAAGUAAUGCCUUUUCUUAGACAUGUAUUAUCUGCUAUUUCAGCCUUAAGGAGGAAACAUGUCUCCAACUGCAAGUAUAUUAAAUCUUGCGUUCUCUCUCACUCUCUCACUCUUAUUGAGGAUUCAUAUGUUGCGUAUGGAUAUUAGAUAUUGAUGAAGUAAAAAUCCAUUCCUUAUUUCAGAUGCACAUUCUGCUUAUGUAGUUUUGUCAAAUUAAGUUACUGUUUUGAAAGUCUUUAUUUGGUGGAGUCACUUCUGAUAUGUGGGAUAUUGUGCUUUUCAUUUUCAGUUAAAUGAUAACUUACCAGUGGUAUACUUCCUCAUCAGAUUUAUCAACCGAAGGAAGAAGAGGUUCAAGUAGUUACAAAGAAUAUGGAAGAUAAGAGCAAAGUAUAUGAAAAGGCUGCAUAUCGUCUACUUAAUGGCCGGCUGGUUAGUUCCCAUCUAUGAAGCCCUUAAUUUCGUAAAUGUUUUUUUCUGGUUUAAAUGUCUGAUACUUUAUCUGCCUUCCUCCCAACACAUGGAAAUACACAAAAAACAGCCUCUCAACAAUGUUUGUAUGUGUGUGUUUUUAAAGGGUUUGGGGAAACAAGGUCAAGGUGUGUGGGACUGAAACAUUGGACCUGCCUCUUCUAUGGUUAGGCUAACAAUAGUGGAACUAGGCAUAUGUGGGAUAACAAUGGUGUCAAAUUUUAAAUUAAGACUUGUUUAAAUUCUUUUUUGGUACAAGCAAAGCUUACAUUACAUUCUAAGUGGGAGGAGGAUGGGGUUUCACAAGGUUCAAACCCUAGAUAGCAUGCCAACACUUGAACCCACAUACAACAAGUUGCCACUAGACUAGUCAUAAUUGAUUCAACUUGUUAGUGGUGAAUCUUUUUCAAAAGUUUGUUGAAGCUUGAAAACAGUAAUUGUAUUUAUGUCAGGCUCUUUGUGGUACGAGUGUGUAACUUGUAUUGCAUUUUAUAGGUAUUGAGGAGAUCUAUCAAUGUUGAAAAGUUUCGUGCCCAAUCGACCAAAGAUGACCCAAUUGAAUUGCGCUCACCUGUGACAAAAGAUGAAAUUGUUGCUGAGGUAUGGCCAUGAUAUUUAUUGAUAGUAAUAGUUUCUCUCACGUCACUACAAUAGACAAUCUCCUUGUGUUAUAUGCUAUGUUAUUCGGACUCUUAUUUUUCUGAAGUAUUUAUGUUCGACGCGUAUUUAGAUAUGUACAUGGUUAUAUCCUCCAAAUAUGUGAGUAAACUUGGAGCAAAUUGAAUAAACCCAUGUCAAACACUCGCUUCAAGUCCAAGUGACAUAGCUUAAUCAUAAAACGUUUAAGAUGUGGACUUGAAAUGUUAUGAUUUUGUUAUUUCCAUUUACGCACUCGAUUAAUCUCCUCCUUUUAUUCCAUUUCAGGUUGGAAGGCAGCUUUGCGUUCAAAUUGAUCCUGAAAAUCUGCACCUUCCAACACCUUUGGAAACAUUUGGACUGUUUGAUGUGCAAUUGCGGAUGCCAAAAUCCAUACCGCUCCCAGAAGGAAGGUAUAAUUGGACGCUUAAAGUUAAAAUCCAAGGUAAAUAAACGGACAAGAGGAAAUAGGAGGUUGACUGAAAAGAGCUUUCAAGCUUGAGGAACCGUCUUCUUUUCGAAUUAGCUUGAGAAUGGAAUGAUAGGAAUCAAAUGUUGGAUGAUUAUUGACCUUUGUUGUCUGAUUAUGCUAUUUACCAUCUGUUCCAACUCUUUGUUUUACCAAAAAAGAGUAAUAAUUUCAAAUUUUUAACUAAAUCACAAUACCGAACUAAAAGUGCGCGCGAGACGAAUAUUUAACGUCUCCAAAUUCAUCAAAAUAACAACUUUUAUGUCUGCACUUUUUAAGUAGACAUCCUUAAAAAGAUUAAUUGUUAGAAUCAAUUUUUGGGUAAAAUCAUUUUGAAUUCAAGCUGAGUUUAUUUGAAUCACGGCUAUUGUUAUUGGGAUUUAUUCGAUUCAACAAAUUUACGCGUAUAAAACUUCUACGUUCACUCUGCACCACUUGCAUCUUAUUAUUAUUUAGUACACUUACAGUCCAAUUUCACAAACAAAGCUAUAUCGAUUUUUUUUUUAUUUAAAAAAAAACAUAUGAAUUAAGAAAACUUAAUGAUUUAUUAACCCCAAUAUGAAAUUAAAAAACUUCAUUAUUAACACACCAAAUAAAUAGUCAUGCAUAAAACUUUAUGUUACAUCUGUAUCUAAACUUGUAUAAUUAUAUAAUGUGAAAAUUUAUUAUAAAUUAUAAAUUAUAUAUUUUAAUUAAAAUAUAUUUAAUAAUAAUUAUGUUAAAAUAUGAUUAAAUUAUUUAUUACUGAUAAUAAUAAUCUUAUUAAAAUUUAAAUAACAAUAACAAUAAUCAUUUACCAAAAUAAUUUUAUGCUAAGGGUAUUCUAGUCAUUUUAGUUUUUUCCAUUAUGCUAUUACACCUCUAUUCCAUUCAACCAAACACAAGAUUACUAUUACGCCUCUAUUCCAUUACAUUCAACCAAACAGUGGAUUAGCUAUUACACCACUAAUCCAAUACACCUCUAAUCCCAAUACACCUCUAAUCCAAUACACCUCUAAUCCAAUACAGCGAACCAAACGCACCCUUAGUAUUAGCCAGUUGUGUGUCGUGGUCACUGUAUUCUCUCUUUCUUUAAUGAAUUGCCGGCGAAUAUUGAAUAUAUUCUUCAAC
This 4760-nucleotide long non-coding RNA is filed under the name Gossypium barbadense (sea-island cotton). Its description in RNAcentral is "long non-coding RNA (GBAR_LNC007517)". The record is from RNAcentral. Lineage: Eukaryota; Viridiplantae; Streptophyta; Magnoliopsida; Malvales; Malvaceae.